GAUGAACGCUGGCGGCGUGCCUAAUACAUGCAAGUCGAGCGAACAGACGAGGAGCUUGCUCCUCUGACGUUAGCGGCGGACGGGUGAGUAACACGUGGAUAACCUACCUAUAAGACUGGGAUAACUUCGGGAAACCGGAGCUAAUACCGGAUAAUAUAUUGUACCGCAUGGUUCAAUAGUGAAAGACGGUUUUGCUGUCACUUAUAGAUGGAUCCGCGCCGCAUUAGCUAGUUGGUAAGGUAACGGCUUACCAAGGCAACGAUGCGUAGCCGACCUGAGAGGGUGAUCGGCCACACUGGAACUGAGACACGGUCCAGACUCCUACGGGAGGCAGCAGUAGGGAAUCUUCCGCAAUGGGCGAAAGCCUGACGGAGCAACGCCGCGUGAGUGAUGAAGGUCUUCGGAUCGUAAAACUCUGUUAUUAGGGAAGAACAAAUGUGUAAGUAACUAUGCACGUCUUGACGGUACCUAAUCAGAAAGUCACGGCUAACUACGUG
Molecule: ribosomal RNA, 497 nt
Filed under: uncultured bacterium
Lineage: Bacteria
Description: partial 16S ribosomal RNA
Rfam family: Bacterial small subunit ribosomal RNA
Source: RNAcentral